This 247-nucleotide ribosomal RNA is filed under the name uncultured bacterium. RNAcentral describes it as "partial 16S ribosomal RNA". It matches the Rfam family "Bacterial small subunit ribosomal RNA", at positions 523 to 769 of the family's 1533-position model. The record is from RNAcentral.
AUACGUAGGGGGCAAGCGUUAUCCGGAUUUACUGGGUGUAAAGGGAGCGUGGACGGCACUGCAAGUCUGGAGUGAAAACCCGGGGCUCAACCCCGGGACUGCUUUGGAAACUGUGGUGCUAGAGUGCAGGAGAGGUAAGUGGAAUUCCUAGCGUAGCGGCGAAAUGCGUAGAUAUUAGGAGGAACACCAGUGGCGAAGGCGGCUUACUGGACUGUAACUGACGUUGAGGCUCGAAAGCGUGGGGAGC